GACGAACGCUGGCGGCGUGCCUAAUACAUGCAAGUAGAACGCUGAAGAGAGGAGCUUGCUCUUCUUGGAUGAGUUGCGAACGGGUGAGUAACGCGUGGGUAACCUGCCUUGUAGCGGGGGAUAACUAUUGGAAACGAUAGCUAAUACCGCAUAACAAUAGGUGACACAUGUCAUUUAUUUGAAAGGGGCAAUUGCUCCACUACAAGAUGGACCUGCGUUGUAUUAGCUAGUAGGUGAGGUAACGGCUCACCUAGGCGACGAUACAUAGCCGACCUGAGAGGGUGAUCGGCCACACUGGGACUGAGACACGGCCCAGACUCCUACGGGAGGCAGCAGUAGGGAAUCUUCGGCAAUGGGGGCAACCCUGACCGAGCAACGCCGCGUGAGUGAAGAAGGUUUUCGGAUCGUAAAGCUCUGUUGUAAGUCAAGAACGAGUGUGAGAGUGGAAAGUUCACACUGUGACGGUAGCUUACCAGAAAGAGACGGCUAACUACGUG
Molecule: ribosomal RNA, 497 nt
Filed under: uncultured bacterium
Lineage: Bacteria
Description: partial 16S ribosomal RNA
Rfam family: Bacterial small subunit ribosomal RNA
Source: RNAcentral